AUUGAACGCUGGCGGCAGGCCUAACACAUGCAAGUCGAACGAGUGGCGGACGGGUGAGUAAUGUCUGGGAAACUGCCUGAUGGAGGGGGAUAACUACUGGAAACGGUAGCUAAUACCGCAUACCAUCGGAUGUGCCCAGAUGGGAUUAGCUAGUCGGGGGGGUAAAGGCUCACCUAGGCGACGAUCCCUAGCUGGUCUGAGAGGAUGACCAGCCACCCUAGAACUGAUACACGGUCCAGACUCCGACGGGAGGCAGCAUGGGGGAAUAUUGCACAAUGUGCGCAAGCCUGAUGCAGCCAUGCAGAGUGUAUGAAGAAGGCCUUCGGGUUGUAAAGUACUUUCAGCGGGGAGGCGUUACCCGCAGAAGAAGCACCGGCUAACUCCGUGCCAGCAGCCGCGGUAAUUC
Molecule: ribosomal RNA, 406 nt
Filed under: uncultured bacterium
Lineage: Bacteria
Description: partial 16S ribosomal RNA
Rfam family: Bacterial small subunit ribosomal RNA
Source: RNAcentral